UGGGGAAUAUUGCACAAUGGGCGCAAGCCUGAUGCAGCCAUGCCGCGUGUAUGAAGAAGGCCUUCGGGUUGUAAAGUACUUUCAGUCGGGAGGAAGGUGUCAAGGUUAAUAACCUUGGCAAUUGACGUUACCGACAGAAGAAGCACCGGCUAACUCCGUGCCAGCAGCCGCGGUAAUACGGAGGGUGCAAGCGUUAAUCGGAAUUACUGGGCGUAAAGCGCACGCAGGCGGUUUGUUAAGUCAGAUGUGAAAUCCCCGGGCUCAACCUGGGAACUGCAUCUGAUACUGGCAAGCUUGAAGCUCGUAGAGGGGGGGAGAAUUCCAGGUGUAACGGUGAAAUGCGUAGAGAUCUGGAGGAAUACCGGUGGCGAAGGCGGCCCCCUGGACGAAGACUGACGCUCAGGUGCGAAAGCGUGGGGAGCAAACAGG
RNAcentral lists this ribosomal RNA (429 nucleotides) under Chloroflexota bacterium. RNAcentral describes it as "Chloroflexi bacterium partial 16S ribosomal RNA". It matches the Rfam family "Bacterial small subunit ribosomal RNA", at positions 355 to 776 of the family's 1533-position model. The record is from RNAcentral. Lineage: Bacteria; Bacillati; Chloroflexota.